Molecule: long non-coding RNA, 273 nt
Filed under: Elaeis guineensis (African oil palm)
Lineage: Eukaryota; Viridiplantae; Streptophyta; Magnoliopsida; Arecales; Arecaceae
Description: long non-coding RNA (EGUI_LNC007365)
Source: RNAcentral
UGGUGCAAUUAGCUUCAGCAACUGCUCAUGCCUGCGGUUUUGUUUCUGCAUUAUAAUCUUAUGUCUCCUUAUUGUUUCUAUUUGCAAAGCUUCAUACCUCUAUUUUUUCUCUAUCUGCAUCUCAUCCAACUAUCUUGCUAGCACUCCUAUUUUAGUGUUAUAUUCACCUAUUACUUGCUGUAACCUAUCUUCAAUGUGACUGUGGCAUUUAGUGGAGAGUGUUUGCAUUUUUACUUCCAAAAUUUUGAGAUUUUCAUUGAUUUCCUUCAAUCU